Molecule: ribosomal RNA, 445 nt
Filed under: uncultured bacterium
Lineage: Bacteria
Description: partial 16S ribosomal RNA
Rfam family: Bacterial small subunit ribosomal RNA
Source: RNAcentral
GUGAGGAAUAUUGGACAAUGGGCGCAAGCCUGAUCCAGCCAUGCCGCGUGCAGGAAGACGCAUCUAUGGUGUGUAAACUGCUUUUGUACGGGAAGAAACACUCCCUCGUGAGGGAGCUUGACGGUACCGUAAGAAUAAGGAUCGACUAACUCCGUGCCAGCAGCCGCGGUAAUACGGAGGAUCCAAGCGUUAUCCGGAAUCAUUGGGUUUAAAGGGUCCGUCGGCGGUUUAAUAAGUCAGUGGUGAAAGCCCAUCGCUCAACGAUGGAACGGCCAUUGAUACUGUUAGACUUGAAUUACAAGGAAGUAACUAGAAUAUGUAGUGUAGCGGUGAAAUGCUUAGAUAUUACAUGGAAUACCAAUUGCGAAGGCAGGUUACUACUUGUGGAUUGACGCUGAUGGACGAAAGCGUGGGGAGCGAACAGGAUUAGAAACCCCUGUAGUCC